This 71-nucleotide transfer RNA is filed under the name Alosa alosa (allis shad). RNAcentral describes it as "tRNA-OTHER". Lineage: Eukaryota; Metazoa; Chordata; Actinopteri; Clupeiformes; Clupeidae. The record is from RNAcentral.
GCAGCGGUGGCCUACUGGUUAACGCUUCGGACUUGUAACCGGAGGGUUGGAUUCGAAUCCCGACCACGGCU